AGGGUUUGAUCCUGGCUCAGAACGAACGCUGGCGGCGUGGAUUAGGCAUGCAAGUCGAGCGAGGGCGAGAGCUUCGGCUCUCGAAUCGAGCGGCGAAAGGGUGAGUAACGCAUAGGCAAUCCGCCCGCGAGUUCGGGAUAACCGCUGGAAACGGCGACUAAUACCGAAUUGCCCCGGUUAAAGACAUCUUCGGCCGGGUAAAGGGGGGGACCUUCGGGCCUCUCGCUCGCGGAGGAGCCUAUGUCCUAUCAGCUAGUUGGUGGGGUAACGGCCCACCAAGGCGAUGACGGGUAGCCGGGCUGAGAGGUUGACCGGCCACACUGGGACUGAGACACUGCCCAGACUCCUACGGGAGGCUGCAGUCGAGAAUCUUCCGCAAUGGGCGCAAGCCUGACGGAGCGACGCCGCGUGGAGGACGAAGGCCUUCGGGUUGUAAACUCCUGUCACGUGACGAGAAAUGUAAGGCGCUAACAUCGUCUUGCUUGACAACUCAUGAGAGGAAGUCACGGCUAACUCUGUGCCAGCAGCCGCGGUAAUACAGAGGUGGCAAGCGUUGUUCGGAAUCACUGGGCAUAAAGGGCGCGUAGGCGGUUGAGCAAGUCGGGUGUGAAAGCCCUCGGCCUAACCGAGGAACUGCAUCCGAUACUGUUCGACUAGAGUGCGGUAGGGGAGAGUGGAACUCCUGGUGGAGCGGUGAAAUGCGUAGAUAUCAGGAGGAACGCCGGUGGCGAAAGCGACUCUCUGGCCCGUAACUGACGCUGAGGCGCGAAAGCCAGGGGAGCAAACGGGAUUAGAUACCCCGGUAGUCCUGGCCCUAAACGAUGGGCACUAGGUAGUGGAGGGUCCGAUCUCUUCACUGCCGGAGCAAAUGUGUUAAGUGCCCCGCCUGGGGAGUACAGUCGCAAGGCCGAAACUCAAAGGAAUUGACGGGGGCUCACACAAGCGGUGGAGGAUGUUGCUUAAUUCGAAGCAACGCGCAGAACCUUACCUGGGCUUGACAUGCUAGUGGUACGACCCCGAAAGGGUUAGGACCUGGUUUUCCAGGAGCUAGCACAGGUGUUGCAUGGCUGUCGUCAGCUCGUGUCGUGAGAUGUUGGGUUAAGUCCCGUAACGAGCGAAACCCUUGUCGUUAGUUGCCAGCGGGUAAUGCCGGGGACUCUAGCGAGACUGCCGGUGUCAAACCGGAGGAAGGUGGGGACGACGUCAAGUCAUCAUGGCCCUUACGCCCAGGGCUGCAAACGUCCUACAAUGGUCGGUACAAAGGGAAGCAAGACCGCAAGGUGGAGCGAAUCCCAAAAAGCCGGCCCCAGUUCGGAUUGUGGGCUGCAAUUCGCCCGCAUGAAGCCGGAAUCGCUAGUAAUCGCGGAUCAGCACGCCGCGGUGAAUAUGUUCCUGAGCCUUGUACACAC
This 1409-nucleotide ribosomal RNA is filed under the name metagenome. Its description in RNAcentral is "bacterial SSU rRNA". It matches the Rfam family "Bacterial small subunit ribosomal RNA". The record is from RNAcentral.